Molecule: small RNA, 28 nt
Filed under: Bombyx mori (domestic silkworm)
Lineage: Eukaryota; Metazoa; Arthropoda; Insecta; Lepidoptera; Bombycidae
Description: ovarian small RNA-19128
Source: RNAcentral
UAAGAAUAGGAGUGCCAGAAUUAUUGGU